UACUCUCCUGACUUUGGUGACUCUCUCUCUCUCUGUUCUCUAUCUGCAUCUAGGCUACUGCUAACUGAAUUCUAGUUUCAAAACACAAACCAUAGUUGCUGUGCUGCAGAUUACUUUUAACUAUUCGAUCUGGACUCAUAAAGGUUUUUGGUCUCUUCAUUGCUGUUAAGCUACCGUUAAGUUAAAUCCUUUCAGUUUCUAAAGGCAAAUUAUGGCUGUUGCGCUGCGGGCCGGUAUAGAUCUAUUCUGGACUCUUAAAGAUUACUUUUAACUAUUCGAUCUGGACUCAUAAAGGUAUGCAUAAUUGUUAUAUUCUUCUUAAUUAUAUUUGCUUAGGUGUUUGUAGACAUCAGUAAAACUCCUACGCCUAUUGAAAAUGAAUACAUCCAGCCCAGUUGCAUUUUUAGGUUUUCUAUACCAAAAAGGUCAAUCAGCAUCAUACUCUAUUUUUAAACUUUAUUUUACAAAAUGUUUAAAACUACGUUAUUUAAGUAUUGAAAGUACACUAUUUUGUAUAUUAUCAAAUAAUGUAUAUUCAGUACAUCUUUAUUAUAUUAAAAAUAUUUUUUUUUAUUUAUGGAUCACAACAAAAUUUCUUGACGUAGACAAGUCUUGGUCAUCCAACUAGAUAUGUGGCAUUGGAUUCGAUCUUAUCCUAAUUUCUUUAGUACAAUAAUUCACUGGUAGGUACCAUCCAUACACAUAAUUUGUCAAAAGAAACAAUGCCAUUAUUAUUUCUCAUUGUGCACAUAUAAGACAAUAGAAAUUGUACAGUACCUACAGAAACAGCAAAUAACUCUAGCUUGGGGGUUUCUUUGAAGUUUCUUUGUUCCUUCCAAUGAAUUUCUCAGGUUUUUGGCUUCUUCAUUGCUGUUAAGCUACCGUUAAGUUAAAUCCUUCCAGUUUCUAAAGGCAAAUUAUGGCUGUUGCACUGCGGGCCGGUAUAGAUCUAUUCUGGUCUCUUAAAGACGCAAUGGAGCAGAUACUCUCAUUACGUAGUAAAUUUGAAGGAUAUAUGGAUUUUGAUGAAAAUCUGGAAACUCUAAAAGCUGAAGUAGAUCAACUUCAUAUGGAGGCGAAUGACAUGGAAGCAAAGUUGAAGAACUUAGAAAGAGGAGGGCAAAGGAAGAGGAAACAAGGAGUCGAGGGUUGGCUUCAGCAAGUAAAUAAGUUGGAAACAAACUUUGAAACAUUCAAGGAAAGCAUACAAGGUGCGGGAUUCAUAAUGAAGAAUGCUCGGAAGUUAAUAAAAGCACAAGAACUCGAAGGGAUGACAGAAAGAGUUAAAAAGCUUAGAGAAGAGGGCAGAAGUAAUACUGUUGAACCUACACUGGAUGUGAGUACAUCAUAUGAACUCAAUGUUGAUCAGUUAUUUGGGACAGCAUCUAAAAUUAAUUUAGUAGAAAUAUAUAGAUGGGUAGAGGAUGCAAAUGUGACUAGUAUCGGGGUGUAUGGAAUGGGAGGUGUUGGAAAGACAACUUUGGCACAACAUCUAUAUAACAAAAUCUGCAAAGAAAACCCUCGUGCUAAUGUUUACUGGGUUACAGUUUCUCAAGAUUUUAACAUCAGAAAAUUACAAGAUAACAUUGCGAGAAGUGCUGGUAUUGGAUUUUCGGAUGUGGACAAUGAAGUGCAAAGAGCUGCUAUUUUAUGCAGUCAUCUAGGGAGGAAUAAUGUUGUACUCAUAUUGGAUGAUGUGUGGGACAAAAUUGACUUGGUGAAAUUGGGUGUCCCUCAUAAGGAUAAGGGUUGCAAGCUCAUUUUAACAACUCGAUUACAAGAUGUGUGCCAUUGGAUUGGAUGCGACAAGCUGUUCAAAGUUGAUGUUUUUAAUGAGGAGGGAGCUUGGAAUUUGUUCAAGGAGGUUUUAGUACAAGAUAAGGAUAUUGUGCUCACUGAUGCUAUUGAAAAACAUGCCAAAGAAUUGGCCAAAAAGUGUGGCGGCUUACCAUUGGCACUCAAAACUUUAGCUGCAAGCAUGCGAGGGGUGAAUGAUAACCACAGUUGGAGGAAUGCCAUUAAGAAUUUCCGAAAUGGUUGUCCUCAAAUGGGAGAUCAGCUGGAAAAAGGUGUGUUUGAUAUACUCCAAUUUAGCUACAACAAAUUGGAUCGUGAAAAGUGGAAAAAGUGUUUCCUUUAUUGUUGUUUGUAUCCUGAAGAUGAUAAGAUUCCGAAGGAUGAAAUAAUAAUAAAGUUGAUUGCAGAAGGAUUAUGUGAAGAUAGAGAUGAAGGUCAUUCCAUAUUGAAUCAUCUAGAAAAGGUUUUCUUAUUGGAAGGGGGGGAAUGGUAUAACGGAAUAGGGUAUGUUAAGAUGCAUGAUUUAAUGAGAGAAAUGGCUUUAACGAUCUCAAAGUUCAUGGUUAAAUCUGAGCUCACUGAAAUUCCGGAGGAGAAACAUUGGAUCGCUGAAUUGGAGAGAGUUUCUUUUAUGAGAAGUGAAAUAAAAGAAAUUCCAGAUGACUUUUCCCCCAGAUGCCCUAGCCUUUCAACCUUGAUUUUGCAAGGGCCUUAUUACAUGGGUUUCUGGCAGUUUCAAAGAAUCCCAGAAUCUUUCUUGUUGUACAUGAGGACACAGCUUCGUGUCCUAGAUUUAAGUUAUAUCAGUGGGCUGGAGUGUCUUCCCAAUUCUAUCUCAGAUUUGGAGAAUCUUUAUGGAUUAUAUCUUGUAGGUUGUGAAAGGAUUAGUUGUUUGCCAGGAAUGAAGAAGCUGAAGAAAUUGAUGGUGUUAAAUAUUGAUGGUUGUUAUGGAAUUAGGGAAUUGCCUCAAGACAUGGGAUGUUUAGUGAAUCUCCAAUAUCUAUAUAUGAGGCACACAAGCAAAUACUUGGAGAUUCCGAAAGGGGUAAUAGCCAAACUAAGAAAUCUUAGAUGCUUCCAUUUGCACUCUUGUCCGAACUUGCAGAGUGAGGAAGUUAAUUGCUUGACACGUCUUCAAGAAUUUGCAAACAGCUAUGAUGAUUUGCACAGCUUCAACAACACUACAUUGGUUAAAAAACUUGAGCAACUGAAAUACUACCGGAUAUCCGUAGGCUGCCAUUAUACAGAGCUAGAAAGUGAAGAGAGGAGUGUGUGUUUCCGUGCAAUCAAUUUUGAAGGGAAAAGAGGUCAAGAAGUUAAAGUAUUGCUUCCUGCAAACAUUUGUUGUUUACGAAUUGAGGACUGUGACGGGUUGGAUGGGUGCAUAUUAGACAAUUUCCAAUCAUUGAGCAAUAAUCUGAGCAAACUAAGUGUAUAUAAUUCCAUCGAAGCAGAGUGGAUUUGGGAUAGCGAACAAAUAAUAGAAAAUGCAGCCACCCCAUUUAAGUGUCUUGAGAAGUUGCAUCUCAAAAACCUGCAAAGAUUAGUAAGUUUGUUUAAGGGAGAAGAUGUAAUUAUUCUUCCAGAUUGCACCUUCUCAUCCCUUAAACAUCUGUAUGUCAGUGGAUGUAACAGUAUGACGAAGUUGUUGUCACAGGCGUUAUUGCAAAAUUUCCAAAAUCUUGAGAUACUUGAAGUACAAUUCUGUGAGAACCUAGAAGUGGUAAUAGGAGUUGGGGAUGAAGAAGGCAGCAGUAAUACCCGACAGUCAUCAUCCUCAAAUAUAUCAUGUCUACCCAAGCUUAAACACUUACAACUAGAGAUGCUGCCAAAAUUGAAAAGCAUAUGCAAUGGUAGAGAAAUGGUUUGCCCUUCCAUUGAAGUAAUAAGAAUUUUCCGUUGUCAAAAUAUUAAGAGGAUGCCUUCAUUUCUUCCUAUUGAUGAGGCUCAACAACCAUACCUUCCUUCAUCCUUUCAAAAUAUCAGCUUACUUAAAGAUGAGAAAGAAUGGUGGGAAUCAUUGGAGUGGCACAAUCCAAAUGAAAAAGACAUCCUGGAAUCUCACAUCGAAUGGAGGCAAUGGUGAUUAGGGAUGAUUAUUGUACCCGAAAGUUGUUACUGUUCAAUUUGGAGUAGAUACUUUGGAGGCGCAGAAGUGCAGAACCCAUGAAGGCCAUUGAUGGGUUUGUAACUUUGUUUGCAUCCAGAGCACUUAGACCAUUGAUCGGAGUCGCCUCCAUCCGCCGUCUCCAUUUAUCCGUCACCUUCAUUUUCGUUUGCUGAGAUACCAAGACAAAGCAGCUCCAGAGCAUUCAACAUAUGAAUUUCCACGUGGUGUCGCAUGCUUACUGGACCUUCCAUGUGUCCAGUGUUUUGAAAUGGUGAUUUUGAUUUACCACAUUAUAGAUACAAGAAUUCCCACUAACCCCACUGUUAAGUAUUCCAUAUGCAGCCACGUGCUUUCCAAAUGUUUCUCCCAAAAUUGUGCUUUCAUCAGGCUUGCGACUGAUUUUGAGCCGGAAAACUUGCCGGAAAUGGAGUUGCUCGCUGGAGAAGAAAGGGAAAAAGUAAAAUGACCAAAAAAGCCCUCAUUAUUUGAUCUAUUAAAAAUUUCCGGCCACUUUUCGUCGGUAAUUUGGCCGGAGUGACCAAAAUUGAAAAAAAUU
Ipomoea nil (Japanese morning glory) is the source of this 4463-nucleotide RNA transcript. It is a transcript of the gene named probable disease resistance protein At4g27220, with no coding region annotated. Lineage: Eukaryota; Viridiplantae; Streptophyta; Magnoliopsida; Solanales; Convolvulaceae. The transcript is spliced from 9 exons. The record is from RefSeq and is a predicted model, not a curated record.